Molecule: ribosomal RNA, 253 nt
Filed under: uncultured bacterium
Lineage: Bacteria
Description: partial 16S ribosomal RNA
Rfam family: Bacterial small subunit ribosomal RNA
Source: RNAcentral
UACGGGGGGGGCAAGCGUUGUUCGGAAUUACGGGGCGUAAAGGGCUCGUAGGUGGCCAACUAAGUCAGACGUGAAAUCCCUCGGCUUAACCGGGGAACUGCGUCUGAUACUGGAUGGCUUGAGUUCGGGAGAGGGAUGCGGAAUUCCAGGUGUAGCGGUGAAAUGCGUAGAUAUCUGGAGGAACACCGGUGGCGAAGGCGGCAUCCUGGACCGACACUGACACUGAGGAGCGAAAGCCAGGGGAGCAAACGGG